CAAUUCUCUACUCUGCCUGAGGGUGGCGCAUACACCCCAGGAAAUGUUCUAAAUAAGAAAAUAAAAACACCUUUCCUCCGGUGAAGACGCUGCUAGAAAGCAUCAAGGACUGGUUGAAAGCUUUGAGAGAACAACUAUGGAAAACUUUUAAGCCGCGUUGACACUGCGAGCUCCUCAAGAUACCUCCGAUUGGUUUUAAGAGAGGGAUAGAUCAUCUGAAUCUGACCCUGGUGGUCAGUGGCGAGCCAACCGCAGAAGUCAGAGAACGGACCAAGAGCCUGGUGUGGCCAGCCGUGGCAUCUUUGGAACCAUCA
Long non-coding RNA from Onychostoma macrolepis, 314 nucleotides. RefSeq lists it as uncharacterized. Lineage: Eukaryota; Metazoa; Chordata; Actinopteri; Cypriniformes; Cyprinidae. The record is from RefSeq and is a predicted model, not a curated record. The transcript is spliced from 3 exons.